RNAcentral lists this ribosomal RNA (301 nucleotides) under uncultured bacterium. RNAcentral's name for it is "partial 16S ribosomal RNA". It matches the Rfam family "Bacterial small subunit ribosomal RNA", at positions 509 to 807 of the family's 1533-position model. The record is from RNAcentral.
CAGUCGCCGCGGUAAUACGAAGGGUGCAAGCGUUAAUCGGAAUUACUGGGCGUAAAGCGUGCGUAGGCGGUUUGUUAAGUCUGCUGUGAAAUCCCCGGGCUCAACCUGGGAAUGGCAGUGGAUACUGGCAAGCUAGAGUGUGUCAGAGGAUGGUGGAAUUCCGCGUGUAGCAGUGAAAUGCGUAGAUAUGCGGAGGAACACCGAUGGCGAAGGCAGCCCCCUGGGCCAACACUGACGCUCAUGCACGAAAGCGUGGGGAGCAAACAGGAUUAGAUACCCGAGUAGUCCCUGUCUCUUAUAC